GUCUUUUUGAUUAUAAUUUAAAGUCUAACCUGCCCACUGAAAUAAUUUGAAGGGCCGCGGUAUUUUGACUGUGCAAAGGUAGCAUAAUCAUUAGUCUUUUAAUUGAAGGCUUGUAUGAAUGGUUGGAUGAGGUAUUAACUGUCUCAGUUUAAUAAAUUAAAGAAUUUUAUUUUUAAGUUAAAAAGCUUAAAUUUAAUUGGAGGACGAGAAGACCCUAUAGAUCUUUAUAAUUAAAUUAUUAAUAAUUUUGUUGAAUAAAUUUGUUAUUAUUAAUUGAAUUAUUUUAUUGGGGUGAUAAAAAAAUUUAAUAAACUUUUUUUAAUAAAUUACAAUUAUUUUUGAAUAAUGGAUCCAUUUUUAGUGAUUAUAAGAUUAAGUUACCUUAGGGAUAACAGCGUAAUUUUUUUGGAGAGUUCAUAUCUAUAAGAAAGAUUGCGACCUCGAUGUUGAAUUAAAGGUUAAUUUUAGGUGUAGAAGUUUAAAAUUUUGGUCUGUUCGACCAUUAAAUC
Molecule: ribosomal RNA, 509 nt
Filed under: Ctenochauliodes punctulatus
Lineage: Eukaryota; Metazoa; Arthropoda; Insecta; Megaloptera; Corydalidae
Description: partial 16S ribosomal RNA
Rfam family: Bacterial large subunit ribosomal RNA
Source: RNAcentral